AUGUGUAUACAAAAAAGUAACAGAUGUAUGAGAUUUCGAGACCUUCAUGCUGUUAACCUUGCCUUGCUUGCAAAACAAAGUUGGAGAUUGAUAACCCAUCCAGAUACUCUCUAUGCAAAGGAUCUUCGUGCAAAAUACUAUCCAGACGGUAAUUUGCUUAAAGUAGUAGUGAAGAAGGGGUCUUCAUUCACAUGGCAAAGUAUUGUCUCGGGUCUCCAAACUUUUAAAAGGGGACACAUUUGGAGAGUUGGUACUGGCGUGCAAAUAGAUAUCUAG
This 276-nucleotide ribosomal RNA is filed under the name Triticum aestivum (bread wheat). RNAcentral's name for it is "partial small subunit ribosomal RNA". The record is from RNAcentral. Lineage: Eukaryota; Viridiplantae; Streptophyta; Magnoliopsida; Poales; Poaceae.